UACUAUCUCAUCCAUUGUGCCUUUAUUUAUAGUGGUAUGGAAGGUAAAUUCCUUACCUCAAUAGGAUUAGCAACUCUAAAAUGAUAAUAUAUAGUCUAAGAGAUAUGGUAGAAUCCCAUAAAGAUAUUACAGAUAUGAUAGGAUUUACACGAUAACAUUCUUAAUCUAAUAGGACUGCAACAUUAUUAUUAUUUUAAAGUUGUGGAGUUUGUUUGUUUGAUGGGUGUUUUAGUCCAAUUAUUUUUUGUGAAGUAUUCGGACACCUAACUGGGUGCUUGUAUUUAAAUAUUAGAGAUUAAAGAUAAUUAUAAGUUUAGUGGCGCCAUAAUUUUGUAAGUGAGCGAGAGGUUUUCAGACAGUCAAAUCGUUUCGUUCUCUCGCCAUUGCAGUAGAGUAAACUUUGCUUCGCUGAUAAUUUGGAGGGGGAUGCCCAUCGUUCUAUGACCGGGGAUUCCUCCUUUUUGAGAAGCAUUUCUGUUUCUCAUCUCUUUGGCUUGUUGACUUUACUCCGUUUUUUCUUCUUAUCCCUCAGCGUUUCCUCAAUUUCGAAGGAGACGGCAUCAUCUCCCUGGAACCUACGAGCUUGGUUUGGGUUUCGACGUCAAUCCGCCAAUUCCGGCGACGUCCAGUUGGUCUCAAACCAUUCUCCAUAACCUAAGAAUUUUCGGUCAUUGGCGCAACAAAUUUGUUGCUUGACAUUUUGAGUGUUUGCAUAACAUAGAUUGUUGAGGAAUUCAACAAAAAGGCUUCCAGAUAAAGCCGCUUUCUUAUUUCCAAGGUUUGUGCAUAUUUCUCCAUUUUUUAAAUGUUUAAUUUUUUUAGUUACAUUUUUUUUUUUUCUGUUUUAUAUUAUUGUAUUUCAAGGCCGACUUUGUUAUAUUAACUCUGAAAUUUGAACACAACUAUCUAAAAUAUAAUGUUAUUUGGAACUUUCCUAAUUUCUGAGUACGCACUGCAUUGAUUAAGGUUUUUUAAAGAGAGUUUUAACGAAAAGCUCACGGUACUGUUUACUUUAACGAAAAACCACAUUUUUAUACUAAAAAGUCAAUCCUGAUACUAUUUGGGGCGGAUGCCUCCUAAAGAGUAUUUGAUAGUGCAAUCUGUGUUUUUUGAAUGAGUUGAAACUGAAAGGUGAUUUCUGGGUAUUUUCCUUCUUGUUUUUGUAUUCUUUCUGGGUAUUUUCCUUCUUGUUUUUGUAUUGUUUCUAUUUAUCACGUAGGUCAGUAGCCUAUUGGUGCUGUAUUGGCCUCUCGGUAAUCUAAGCCCUGGUCAAGGAGAGGAAUUAUCCUGCAAAUGCUAAGGUAACCACUGCUUGGAUAAUUUGGACUUUGACGGAGAUAUCUACUGCUCUGUGGAAUAGUAAAUGCGAAGUAAUCAGAUAAUAUAUAUGUAUACACUAUACACACACAAAGACAAAUUAUAUAUAUAUAGAUAUCUGUGUGUGUAUACAUAUUUUAGGACAAGCUUAUUGGGUUAUAUGCAUUUUUAGCAUUGAAUAUCCUUCUGAGUUUUGUUUCAUAUGCUCAUGUAAAGCACUGUUUAUUUGUUCUUUUUUCUAUUCUAUUUGUUCGUCGUGUUCGUUGGUUCUCAACUUUGUCUGUUCUUAUGCUCUUGUAAAGCACUGUGUUGAUUAUUGUGGUUAAACAAGAUUCUGUAGGAUGACUGUACUGUUUUGUUGGAGAUAGAAUUAACAUUUUCUUUUAAUUACUGGGUUUUUCGUUGCUGGGUUUUAAUGGUGCAAUCUGGGAUUUUGAAUUUGUUUAAACAGAUAGGUAAUUUCUGGGUAUUCUUGGUAUUUUUCUUCUUGUUUCUGUGAGUGUCAUAUUUUUGUAUUGAUUUACUGAUAUCUACAAAUAUCCUUUUAUUUUCAAAACUGUUUUCGCUCUUCUGUCCAUUGAGGAUAUGGACAAAGUUAAUAUCUCCUAUGUGACGUUCAAUUAUUUGUCAAUUCCUUUACUGUCGUUCCAGUAUUUUUCUAAUUUCGAAGGCUCUGAAUUGCUAAUGAAUAUACCUUUUUUUAUGUUCAGAAUUUUGGGCCAUUGGCGGAACAAAUUUGUUGCUUUACAUUUUGAGGUAUAUAAUUUGCUUUACUUUGGUUUCAGUUUCUUCAGUUAGAUACAGAGUGGAUAUGCGUUUGCUAUAUUCGAACUAUCUUUUGUAUGUACAUAUCAAAUCUUAUGUCGAGAUGGAAUGCUUUUUUAUUAACAGUUGCAUGGCUGGCUUUUUAUUAACAGUUUAUCCAUGAAUGUGAACUAUCAAGCUUUUUGUUAAUUAGAAUUGGCUAAUUCUUUUAUUAAGAAUUUGUUUUUACUCAGCCGUGUUAGUUCUUCAUAUAAGUACAUAGCAUGAGUAUGUAGAAUGUCAUGUCUGUGUGUCGUAUUACUUGCAUGAGAAUUACAGAGUGACACCAUGUUGCGAUGGUGUAAAUGCAACUUUGUAUUUGGUUUGUGUGUAAAACUUAGUCCACUUGGUGAAUGUUUUCCCAUUCUUUUCAGCUUCAGUGUUUGAGUGGCGUAGAUUGUUACAUUAACUUUGAAAUUUGGACACUUGCUUUGAAUUAAUGCUAUUUCAAGGCCUACUUUGUUAUAUUAACUGUGAAAUUUGGACACAAGUUUCUCAAAUAUAGUGUUAUUUGGAACUUUCCAUAUUUCUGAGCAAGAACUGCAUUGAUUAAGGUUUUUUAAAUUUAAGGCAGCGAUGUUUGCAUGCCCUAAUCAUAUGUGAAUUGAGGCUAAAAUGGAUACAAAGUUUGAUGAGAUCAAUUCAAAGAUUUAAAUUAGUUUUCUAAUCACAUUAGUCACUUUGUAAAAAGAAAAGAAAAAAGAGCAUCUCUUUCAUCAAUUAUAUUUCACAUGCAUCUUAGUAUACAUACAGUUCUCAGUUUUCUGUCUUCCUUUAUUCUUUUAUUUUUUGCGUGUGUGUAUUUAUCUAUCUAUGUAUAAACACAGAUAUCGGAUACUGCAAAUCCCAGUUAGGCUGAUAAUUUUAACAUGCAUCUCGUACUCCCUUGCGCAGAGAGGAGAUAAUCAUUACGAGAAACUCAAUACAACAACACUUUUAUUACUCUUAAAAGCAUACUGUGAACCUUGAGCUGAAGUAAGUCCUCAAUUUUCAUGUACUUUUUAUUUGUUGAUGUCUAGGUAGUUGGUAUUUACAUGGUUUUUAAUGAUUAGAUCGCCUAAUGUGUAUAAUUGUGUUGUUUCUGAUUUUGAUAUAAAUUCCGUUUAGUUCGCAGUAAGAUGAACCAUGGCGUGUUUGUAUUAAUGGUAUUGAGUAUAAUUGGAGAAACUGUUUGUUUAAUGUGUACAUCAUGUUGUGGGAUUUUAAAGUCGAAACCACUUGCUUUGAA
Molecule: long non-coding RNA, 3349 nt
Organism: Pyrus x bretschneideri (Chinese white pear)
Lineage: Eukaryota; Viridiplantae; Streptophyta; Magnoliopsida; Rosales; Rosaceae
Exons: 4
Source: RefSeq, a predicted model, not a curated record